GACGAACGCUGGCGGCGUGCUUAACACAUGCAAGUCGAACGGAAAGGCCCUGCUUUUGUGGGGUGCUCGAGUGGCGAACGGGUGAGUAACACGUGAGUAACCUGCCCUUGACUUUGGGAUAACUUCAGGAAACUGGGGCUAAUACCGGAUAGGAGCUCCUGCUGCAUGGUGGGGGUUGGAAAGUUUCGGCGGUUGGUGAUGGACUCGCGGCUUAUCAGCUUGUUGGUGGGGUAGUGGCUUACCAAGGCUUUGACGGGUAGCCGGCCUGAGAGGGUGACCGGCCCCAUUGGGACUGAGAUACGGCCCAGACUCCUACGGGAGGCAGCAGUGGGGAAUAUUGCACAAUGGGCGGAAGCCUGAUGCAGCAACGCCGCGUGCGGGAUGACGGCCUUCGGGUUGUAAACCGCUUUCGCCUGUGACGAAGCGUGAGUGACGGUAAUGGGUAAAGAAGCACCGGCUAACUACGUG
Molecule: ribosomal RNA, 468 nt
Filed under: uncultured bacterium
Lineage: Bacteria
Description: partial 16S ribosomal RNA
Rfam family: Bacterial small subunit ribosomal RNA
Source: RNAcentral